Molecule: ribosomal RNA, 353 nt
Filed under: uncultured Bradyrhizobium sp.
Lineage: Bacteria; Pseudomonadati; Pseudomonadota; Alphaproteobacteria; Hyphomicrobiales; Nitrobacteraceae
Description: bacterial SSU rRNA
Rfam family: Bacterial small subunit ribosomal RNA
Source: RNAcentral
UCCCGGUCGCGGACUCCAGAGACGGAGUUCUUCAGUUCGGCUGGACCGGAGACAGGUGCUGCAUGGCUGUCGUCAGCUCGUGUCGUGAGAUGUUGGGUUAAGUCCCGCAACGAGCGCAACCCCCGUCCUUAGUUGCUACCAUUUAGUUGAGCACUCUAAGGAGACUGCCGGUGAUAAGCCGCGAGGAAGGUGGGGAUGACGUCAAGUCCUCAUGGCCCUUACGGGCUGGGCUACACACGUGCUACAAUGGCGGUGACAAUGGGAUGCUAAGGGGCGACCCUUCGCAAAUCUCAAAAAGCCGUCUCAGUUCGGAUUGGGCUCUGCAACUCGAGCCCAUGAAGUUGGAAUCGCUA